RNAcentral lists this transfer RNA (74 nucleotides) under Spirochaeta africana DSM 8902. Its description in RNAcentral is "tRNA-Gln". It matches the Rfam family "tRNA". Rfam says of the family: Transfer RNA (tRNA) molecules are approximately 80 nucleotides in length. Their secondary structure includes four short double-helical elements and three loops (D, anti-codon, and T loops). Lineage: Bacteria; Pseudomonadati; Spirochaetota; Spirochaetia; Spirochaetales; Spirochaetaceae. The record is from RNAcentral.
UUCCCGGUGGUGUAACGGUAGCACUGCAGAUUCUGGUUCUGUAUGUGGGGGUUCGAAUCCUCCCCGGGAAGCAA